UGGCCCAGCACUAGGUGGAGGAAGCAGAGCAGCAACUCAGGCGCUCCCGGGGUGACGGUCCCCGCGGCACAAUGGCAGUUAGAGGCACCUCCUCCGCCUGGACACAGCAGGUGCAGCCCUAAAAGGAAAAAUAAGGUAAACUAUUCGGAAUGCCCCACGGAAGGCUUUCAUGGACAGCAUCGCCCGCCUGCCACGUGGACACUGAAUCAUGUUGUGAUCAGUUGCUGCACGUUCAGGUCGUUCUGCAUCGGGAGGCGCAGCGAGGACGUCCGCCCGGUGUGUUUACGCAGCGGCUCCUCGGGAGCGCCACUGUGUGACGGCAGCGCGAGCGUCAGACCCGACGGACAGAUUUGUGCCUGUGAGACGUUUUCCCAGACAGAGCAAGAGUCUCGUCACCCUUCCAAACAACAGAAGGAGAAGGAGCUCCCCUGCACAUCACACCUGUGUGAGGGUAACUGUUCUGUGUGGUGGAGUGAGCUGGUGUCCCGGCUGUGCAGCAGGACAACCCCUGCCCGCCGCCUCUCGGAAUGCGGGACAUCUGGGGGAGUCCCGUGUGUCAUGGGGCGUCUAACCUCCUGGCCUCCCUGCUCCUGCUGAGAGAGUCCAUGGCAUUGGAUACACACUUUGCAGGUGCAUCUGUGCUCUGGGCACAUGAAAGUUGCUUUCCUUGUAAGUAACGAAGGCCCAGCUCACGCCGGCUGGAACAGCCCAGGGCUCUUCAUCUGACUCAUCCCCACACCCCGUGGCCGAGCAGGAUGGCUGGCCUGUCGGCCCUCUGUCCAGACAUGGGUGCCACCCGAGGAGGAGGAGGAGUGACUCGGAGAUGCCCCGUGUGCCGGCCUCACUGCAAGAACAGGGCAGUCGUGGUUGGCUACAUGCAUCGGGUCCGCCCGAGGACAGCCAUGCGGGACCCGGUGCCGAGGGAAGAAGCCCCCGCCCCCCCCCCCCCCCCCCCCCCGCCAUGAUCCGGUGAGGACACAGGAUUCCCCGUGCCCCUCAGACCUCAGGGCUGAGACGUGCAUCCUGCCCCGUCCCCAGGCAGGGAGCACGUGGGCUGGGAGCACUCCUGCUGUGUUCAGGCCCCGCCUUAGCCGUGGUCGUCACACACCUAGUGCUCGGUGAGGUUCCGUGAACCAGGGGCGGUGGCUGGUCUCACCGUCUGCCCUUUGGACUUUGUCAGGCGGAGGCUGACCCGCCGGCCACACGUCCCCCUCCCUGCCAGCUUACUCACCUCCUCCCUCUGGAUAGCAGGGUCACUGUCACUCCUGCUGGGGACGCUGGGGAGAUGGUCACUGUAAGAGCAGAAUCCUCCUAGGAACACACUGAAGGGGCAGGUCCUUUCGCGGAGAUGAAGACACGGCCGGUGAGGGCUGGAGAAGUUCAGCGGCUUAGAGAAGAGCAGGGAUGUGGGUGGAGCCACAACAUGAGGGCGGAGGCCACAGAAGGGACUUGGGGACCAGGGGAGGCCCCGCUGCAGGUAGGGAAGGGGCGGGCCCAGCCUCCUGGGUGUCCUUGGUGUCAUCAGCUGUGCUGUGCGCCCCACCGCAUCCUUCCUCAUUUGCAUAAAACUCUCCUAAAUACCUGCGCCUUGUGACAG
This 1597-nucleotide long non-coding RNA is filed under the name Sus scrofa (pig). RNAcentral's name for it is "lncRNA (ENSSSCG00025064125.1)". The record is from RNAcentral. Lineage: Eukaryota; Metazoa; Chordata; Mammalia; Artiodactyla; Suidae.